Molecule: ribosomal RNA, 380 nt
Filed under: uncultured eukaryote
Lineage: Eukaryota
Description: partial 18S ribosomal RNA
Rfam family: Eukaryotic small subunit ribosomal RNA
Source: RNAcentral
CAAUAGCGUAUAUUAAAGUUGUUGCAGUUAAAAAGCUCGUAGUUGGAUUUGUGGCGUACGGUGGGUUCCGGGCACUUGUUGUCUGAGUAACUUGCUGUUGCCAUCCUUGGGUGGAACCUGUGUGGCAUUAGGUUGUCGUGCAGGGGAUGCCCAUCAUUUACUGUGAAAAAAUUAGAGUGUUCAAAGCAGGCUUAUGCCGUUGAAUAUAUUAGCAUGGAAUAAUGAGAUAGGACUUUUUUGCUAUUUUGUUGGUUUGCGCAAAGGGGUAAUGAUUAAUAGGGACAGUUGGGGGUAUUCGUAUUCCAUUGUCAGAGGUGAAAUUCUUGGAUUUUUGGAAGACGAACUACUGCGAAAGCAUUUACCAAGGAUGUUUUCAUUAA